UGGCUCAGUGAUAGAGCGCUUGCCUAGCAUGCAUGAGUUCUUGAGUUCAAUCCUCAG
This 57-nucleotide transfer RNA is filed under the name Cricetulus griseus (Chinese hamster). It matches the Rfam family "tRNA", at positions 8 to 63 of the family's 71-position model. Rfam says of the family: Transfer RNA (tRNA) molecules are approximately 80 nucleotides in length. Their secondary structure includes four short double-helical elements and three loops (D, anti-codon, and T loops). The record is from Rfam by way of RNAcentral. Lineage: Eukaryota; Metazoa; Chordata; Mammalia; Rodentia; Cricetidae.